GAGCUGGGGAUGACUGCAGAGAGGCUCAGUUUCAAUGAGGAUUCCAUCCCAUUUUUACUCCAUGAUCCUUCAGGCAGAACAGAUACUUUAUGAAAAGAACCAGUGAACAACAUCAUAUGAGCCUUUCACAGGAUAAAUGGGUUGGACAGGCAAUUUUGGCUUCUUCUGGGAUCAUGCUCUCCAUUCAAAUAUACAGCUCAAUUAUGUGACUUCCAUACUGAGAAAAUACUUUAACUUUUAAAGUGCACAGCAGCAGUCUGGUCUUAAUAAAAAUGUUUAAAACCC
RNAcentral lists this long non-coding RNA (285 nucleotides) under Gallus gallus (chicken). Lineage: Eukaryota; Metazoa; Chordata; Aves; Galliformes; Phasianidae. The record is from RNAcentral.